Molecule: ribosomal RNA, 502 nt
Filed under: uncultured bacterium
Lineage: Bacteria
Description: SSU rRNA
Rfam family: Bacterial small subunit ribosomal RNA
Source: RNAcentral
AGAUUGAACGCUGGCGGCGUGCCUAACACAUGCAAGUCGAGCGGUAACAGGUGUAGCAAUACAUGCUGACGAGCGGCGAACGGGUGAGUAAUGCUUUGGAAUCUUCCCAGUAGUGGGGAAUAACCAGUCGAAAGAUUGGCUAAUACCGCAUACGUCUGUAAAGGGAAAGCGGGGGCUCGUAAGACCUCGCGCUAUUGGAUGAGCCAAAGUCGGAUUAGCUAGUUGGUGGGGUAAUGGCCUACCAAGGCGACAAUCCGUAGCUGGUCUGAGAGGACGACCAGCCACACCGGAACUGAGACACGGUCCGGACUCCUACGGGAGGCAGCAGUGGGGAAUAUUGGACAAUGGGGGAAACCCUGAUCCAGCGACGCCGCGUGUGUGAAGAAGGCCUGCGGGUUGUAAAGCACUUUUAGUGGGGACAAAAGCUACGGAUUAAUACUCUGUGGUCUUGAUUUAACCCAAAGAAAAGCACCGGCUAACUCUGCGCCAGCAGCCGCGGUAA